This 373-nucleotide ribosomal RNA is filed under the name uncultured bacterium. Its description in RNAcentral is "bacterial SSU rRNA". It matches the Rfam family "Bacterial small subunit ribosomal RNA", at positions 527 to 898 of the family's 1533-position model. The record is from RNAcentral.
GUAGGGGGCAAGCGUUGUCCGGAAUCAUUGGGCGUAAAGCGCGUGUAGGCGGUCCGGUAAGUCGGCUGUGAAAGUCCAGGGCUCAACCCUGGGAUGCCGGUCGAUACUGCCGGACUAGAGUUCGGAAGAGGCGAGUGGAAUUCCCGGUGUAGCGGUGAAAUGCGCAGAUAUCGGGAGGAACACCAAUGGCGAAGGCAGCUCGCUGGGACGUUACUGACGCUGAGACGCGAAAGCGUGGGGAGCAAACAGGAUUAGAUACCCUGGUAGUCCACGCCGUAAACGAUGGGCACUAGGUGUGGGAGGUGUCGACUCCUCCCGUGCCGGAGCUAACGCAUUAAGUGCCCCGCCUGGGGAGUACGGCCGCAAGGCUAAA